UCAAAUAAACCUGUGCUACCAAAAUGAAUCAAUAAAAUAGUUUUAAGAGACUCUUCCUUGGGCACCGAGCAACAUAGGCUUAUUCAUACAGGUCAGCAGGUUUGCUCUAGUGGGAAGCAGAUCUAUACCUCCUACUACCAGAAAACAAAACAGGCCGGAUGCCUGCUCUUUCUGAUAUAUUGCAUCUAAAUCUCAGCCAAACAGGUGAUCCUGUCUGGAAUUUAAUUCAAGAAUGAGUAACAUAAAAAGUAGGGUGCUCUAAACAGCAGUUUUCAGAAUGUUGUUCAGGAAACCCUG
Molecule: long non-coding RNA, 297 nt
Filed under: Homo sapiens (human)
Lineage: Eukaryota; Metazoa; Chordata; Mammalia; Primates; Hominidae
Description: non-protein coding lnc-ZNF385D-2:1
Source: RNAcentral